This 951-nucleotide ribosomal RNA is filed under the name Acinetobacter sp. SFA4.5. Its description in RNAcentral is "bacterial SSU rRNA". It matches the Rfam family "Bacterial small subunit ribosomal RNA", at positions 57 to 1003 of the family's 1533-position model. Lineage: Bacteria; Pseudomonadati; Pseudomonadota; Gammaproteobacteria; Moraxellales; Moraxellaceae. The record is from RNAcentral.
GCAGUCGAGCGGAGAGAGGUAGCUUGCUACCGAUCUUAGCGGCGGACGGGUGAGUAAUGCUUAGGAAUCUGCCUAUUAGUGGGGGACAACAUUUCGAAAGGAAUGCUAAUACCGCAUACGUCCUACGGGAGAAAGCAGGGGAUCUUCGGACCUUGCGCUAAUAGAUGAGCCUAAGUCGGAUUAGCUAGUUGGUGGGGUAAAGGCCUACCAAGGCGACGAUCUGUAGCGGGUCUGAGAGGAUGAUCCGCCACACUGGGACUGAGACACGGCCCAGACUCCUACGGGAGGCAGCAGUGGGGAAUAUUGGACAAUGGGCGCAAGCCUGAUCCAGCCAUGCCGCGUGUGUGAAGAAGGCCUUAUGGUUGUAAAGCACUUUAAGCGAGGAGGAGGCUACUUUAGUUAAUACCUAGAGAUAGUGGACGUUACUCGCAGAAUAAGCACCGGCUAACUCUGUGCCAGCAGCCGCGGUAAUACAGAGGGUGCAAGCGUUAAUCGGAUUUACUGGGCGUAAAGCGCGCGUAGGCGGCUAAUUAAGUCAAAUGUGAAAUCCCCGAGCUUAACUUGGGAAUUGCAUUCGAUACUGGUUAGCUAGAGUGUGGGAGAGGAUGGUAGAAUUCCAGGUGUAGCGGUGAAAUGCGUAGAGAUCUGGAGGAAUACCGAUGGCGAAGGCAGCCAUCUGGCCUAACACUGACGCUGAGGUGCGAAAGCAUGGGGAGCAAACAGGAUUAGAUACCCUGGUAGUCCAUGCCGUAAACGAUGUCUACUAGCCGUUGGGGCCUUUGAGGCUUUAGUGGCGCAGCUAACGCGAUAAGUAGACCGCCUGGGGAGUACGGUCGCAAGACUAAAACUCAAAUGAAUUGACGGGGGCCCGCACAAGCGGUGGAGCAUGUGGUUUAAUUCGAUGCAACGCGAAGAACCUUACCUGGCCUUGACAUAGUAAGAACUUCCAGA